Molecule: non-coding RNA, 20 nt
Filed under: Arabidopsis thaliana (thale cress)
Lineage: Eukaryota; Viridiplantae; Streptophyta; Magnoliopsida; Brassicales; Brassicaceae
Also listed under: 1 other name
Source: RNAcentral
CGUAACAAGGUUUCCGUAGG